GUGCUCACUUCAACAGCACAGAUACUAAAAAUGAAAUGAUACAGAGAAGAUUAGCUUGGACCCUGUGCAAGGCUGACCAGGCUCCAGUGAACAGACUCACACCAAGGGUUA
Nannospalax galili (Upper Galilee mountains blind mole rat) is the source of this 111-nucleotide small nuclear RNA. Lineage: Eukaryota; Metazoa; Chordata; Mammalia; Rodentia; Spalacidae. The record is from Ensembl.